UCCUAAAUACCCUAACUUAGGAAAUCCUAUAAAUAGAGGACCAUUCUUAAUAAAUUCUCACCAAUUCACAAAGUUAGAGCAAGAGAAGAUUGAAAAUUACAAGAAUACUUGUUAGUUGAAAGAAGGAAGGAUAACAAAAGGCUUAAUUACUCAAGUAUUGUAAAGCUUGCACUUCAAGAGGUAAAUAAAUCAUGUUUUUUUAUUUCUAGUUUAUGUUCUUAUAUGUUCUUGAGUAGGAUUCAUGAAAUAAUAUAUGUUUAGAUUUAUGAUUAUGUAAUACAAUGUUAUCAAGUCAUAAAAGAUGAAAACUAAUUAAUUAACCCAAGUGGUAACUAGUUAGAGAGAUUGAAAGUAUGAAAUGAGAAACCCCUAAUCUGAACUGUUAUUGUAAAAGUUAUAUAAAAUCAUAUGUUUGAAAUUUGGUUAUGAAAUACAAAGCAAAGUUGUAAAGAUGGAAGUUACGAAUGCGUGGGAUUUUGAACGACUCAAAAAUGUUUUAAAACGAAGAAGUUAUGGCCGUUUAACCGAGUCGGGUCGGACUGCGAGCAAGUUGUCCACUUUAUAAAAAGUCCCUUAAAAAUGAGUUUUUGAGUUUGAGCAUUUUAUUUUUACGAAUAAAACCCCACUAAUGAAAAUAGUCUAGUUAAGUUAUAAAAACACUUAUUAAGAAGUAAAAUUCGAUAAACUAAUAUUCGGGUACACGUAACUCAUUAUGUAGGGUUUUAAACGUUUACCGAAAAAUCCUAGUUUGCAUUCGAAACAAGUCUUCUAUCUCAAACCUAUGUGCAUCUAUUUUCUAAGCUUGUUCAUGUGAUAGUUGAUAUGUGAAAGUAUAUGUAUGAAAGCCUUAUGUGAUUUUAAGUAGGAUAUGAUGAUUAAAUGUUAAGUGUUUAAUGAUAUGUUAUGUCAUAUAUGAUUAUGUUAUAUCAUUAAGCAUGAGUUAACAUGACCGUUAACUGAAAGUUUUGUUAAGUCAAGCAUGUUAAAGUUUAUAUGAAAGCAUAAGUUGUGUAUGUGUUAUUUGUUAGACUUGUUGAGCCGUUGUGCUCAUUCUUGCGAAUAAAACUUUAUUUGCAGUUAAAGAAGAAUGAUAAUAAAUUAUGAACGUAAAGAAGAAGUGUAUAUUAGGUUACAUGUUUUACUUGCUUGUAUUUAUAUUAAGUCAUAAUGACUUCUGUAAUACGAACAAGUAAACUAUGUAAUCGAAGAUUACAUUAAUAAUAUCAUGUUAUUAUCAUCAGAAUGGUAUUAUGUCUUUAAUUUGAUACAACUUAGAAUUGUUGAAGAUCUAUUAAUCUGAGUGAGGGUAUUGGUAAUAUGAACUGAUCAUGUUAUGUCGAUACUCUAAACUUCAGAUAGAUAGAAAAACAUUAAUACAAUAUUGAUAAAGAACUAUAUAUCUGAAUGAAGAUAUUGAAUAACAUUGUAAGUGCUAUAAAAACAGAGAUUUAGCACCGAUGAAGAAAUCAAAUACAUCGCAAGGUUCCUCUGUUCCAAGUACAAUUGUGUUAUUAAUAUUGUGAAUUUCAGAUAAAUAGGAAAUAUCGAUAUGAAAAGAUAUCUUUAUAAUAAUAUGUAUCUAAGUGAUAGUAUUGAAUGAUAUUGGGAGUUCUGUAAGCACUACACUAAUGAGCGCCGGUAAGAUGCUAAAAUUACCAGAAUGCGACCCUCUGUUGCUAUGAACAAUAUUUGUUAUUAAUACGGUAAACCUUAGAUAUAUAGAAGUCUUAAAUGUCUAAAUCAUAAGGUUAAAAAUUUGACCGAUAUAUAUGGUGUUAUCCAUAUAUACGAAUGAACUACAAGUUGAUACUUGUAGAAAGAAUGAGAUCGAGAUCAAAUUACGAUCCAGAGAUGAAGUUAAGGAAAUUUAUAAUUUUAUAGUCUGUAAUAGACUAAUUCAACCAAUAUGAUUAUGAGAUCCUUGGUUAAGUUACGAAAGAUGAUGAGUUAAGUUGAACCCUUGUUCGGGUGGCCAACGCUCGAAUUCGGGGGCGUUACAACAACACCAGGAGAUGGAAACGGUGGCCAAAGGAUUAGGAUCCAUGUUAACUCUCUUUUUUCCCUUUCGUACCACACAACCUACUUAUAGACGAAAAUGACAGAGGUUCAUAUUAUCAACUGCACUGGAAUAUGUAGAUGCUAAAGUUACCGUUUUCCAACAAGAAAUGUUUUUUGUUCUUUUAAUUUCAACUCAACAUUGUAAUAUCCGGAUGUAAAAAAAAGUAAUGAUAUAAUAAAACAAAAAUAAAUAUACAUAUCUUGAAAAAGUAAUUAUUAGUAUCUUAAACCUAUUAGGAUAAGUCAAUUAAACUGUAACAAUCUUUUAAUUUCAAAAAAAACUCUUUUACUUGGUAACCUAUUUUGCAAAUGAAUUAAAUAUAUUUAAAUAACUAGAGAGAGAAGAAUGUAAAAACUAUUUGGAUUUAGAGUACUGCAGAACAGAAAAGAAGAAAACUCAAAGGUAAACAUUAACCCUUCUUUUUCAAUUAUAAGUUAAUUCAUAUUUGUAAUUAGAAAUUUUAAAUCAAUGAUUAUAAUAUAUAUACUCUAUCUGAAUAAAAGAGAUUUUGAAAUACUAUUCAUAUUUUGUGGGAGUAACCUGUUUAAUAAGCUCGUGUAUGUGUUUAAGGGGAGUGCAAAAUCUGAUUGUUCAUGGUCUAUGAAUAUAUAUAUAUGUGAAUUGUUGCGGUAAUUUUAUAUAUACUACAUAUAUUUUGAGAGCACAUAACAUUAUAUAUAUAUAUGUGUGUGUGUGUGUGUGUGUGUGUGUAUUAUAUAUAAUACAUAUAGUACAUCAGUAGCUUUUGUGCACAUUUAUAUUAUAUAUUAUUUAAAGUAUUUUGUAUGGUAGUUAGGCCUUGCCACUUAAUGGCAGUGUGCCUAGUUUCCCUUGUUCCAUGGUGGAUACUAUCAUGUUUCUUUAAAGUAAUGACGGUCUGCUUUUAAUCAGUUUAUAUCUUCUAUAGUUACAUAUAUAUAUAUAUAUAUAUAUAUAUAUAUAUAUAUAAAAGAGGCUUAUUUAUAUAGAUAAAUAGCAUAAUAAUUGUUAAACUGAGACCAAAACUUAUUUUCUUUAUUAAAUUUAUAUUUUAACACUUAAACAUAUAAUUAGGGUAUAUGUGUGUGUAAGACGAAGCAGCUACUAGAAAAAAAAGUAGUCGCCGCUAAGUAAAGCUAUUCGAAAGCUUAUUGGAGGCCCCAGAAACAACUGGUGGGACUAAGCUUUCUAUUUGAGGGGGAGUAGGAUAAGGUCAAUGUAAGUAGUUUUUCGACCAUAGGAUCCAAACGGAUCAACCUUGUUGGGAGGUACUGCCCAAGGAAAGGAAAUACGUUUGAGUGAGGAUAUCUUAUCUUAAUGAUUUGUACAUGUUCUAAUUUUAUAGUUAGGAUUUGUUCGCUUUUAAUUUUGUGUUUCGCAAUAUCGAGAUAAGUGGCUCUCUGAACUAUUUAGUAUUUUGAAAUUAUGUAUUGUAAGUUGUUUUCCGAACUAUUUAGUUUUUUAAAUUAUCGUUUACUUUUAUGUAUGCCUUAGUAAUUACUCGGAUGCCUAAAUGUACUAUUUCAAAAUUUGUUUAAGGCUUCCAUUUAAAUUAAAAUGAUACGUUCUUCUAUUUCAAACUUCGGAUCAAGUAUUUAUUUUUUAUCUGUGAAAUGGAAUUAUAUGAUUUUGAACUAUGAAAUAAGUAUAGUUUUGAAUACCAAUGAGAUUGUGAAACGUUUUUGAAAUCCUCAGUUCGACUAUGUAUAGAAAGUUGUUUACGCUUAGUUCCGGAGCUAAUAUAGGACCUACUAAAGCGCACACCUUUUAGAUGCCCUUCGGGGAACAUGCAUUUUAUAUUAUAGAUAUCUUAGUAGGGUGCGUGAUCAUUGAUAUUAUCGAACUUUUGGGCCGUGUAAUAAGGUCGCUAAAGCUGUGGAUUAAAAGAUAUAUUGCAUACAUUGAAAUCAUUUUUAAAUAUGAAUUCGCUUUGUUGCUUUGUUAUUAAUUGUUUUAGUUUUGAAAACAAACCUACUAAUGUUAUCAAACAAGAGUUAUUUCUAAAAUGUGUUUUGCAAAUUAUACUUGAUCCAUCUAAAUAGUAAAGAUCGUCACUUGUUGAGCUUUAUCGCUUACCCCUUACCCCUUACCCCUUACAUAAAUUUUCAGGUCGCAUCGUUGAUAGUUGAGCAUUUGUUUGAUACACGUGGGAUAGUUGGAGUUUAAUUUUAGAUGUUAUUUCUUUUUGUUGUUGAAUUUUGAUAAAACUCUUAGUUUCGGGGAGCUACGUUUUACGAUUUUGGUAUUUAGUGGUAUUUUAUUUUGAAUUGGAUUGAAGGAUGUUUAUUGUUGGGUUUUAAUUUAAGGUUAUUGUUGAGUUGUUUUGUUGGGUUGUGUGCUAUUGAUAUUUUUGUCUCGCAGGCCUUUGGGCUUGCGACGUGUAACACUUCGGACUUCGGGGUGUUACAAACAUAAUACCAUAAAAAUAUUUCAAAUUUACCUGCAAGUUGUUCCAAGAGUUUGAGAAUUGUGAAUAAAUUUUAAAAGAGGGGUGCAAGGAAAAGAUAGUAUGAACUUUUCUGUGGUAAAUGUUACAAAAAAAGGUCAAGUGUGACAUGGA
This 4598-nucleotide long non-coding RNA is filed under the name Panax ginseng (ginseng). RNAcentral describes it as "long non-coding RNA (PGIN_LNC018318)". The record is from RNAcentral. Lineage: Eukaryota; Viridiplantae; Streptophyta; Magnoliopsida; Apiales; Araliaceae.